Molecule: ribosomal RNA, 213 nt
Filed under: Triticum aestivum (bread wheat)
Lineage: Eukaryota; Viridiplantae; Streptophyta; Magnoliopsida; Poales; Poaceae
Description: partial small subunit ribosomal RNA
Source: RNAcentral
AUGCAGCAGCGGGAAGAACAACACACGACCAUGGCCUUCGGCCUCUGCGUGGGGCUUCCUAGCGCGGCUCCUCUGCAGCCCCGACUCCUCUUGGAGUGGAGACGGCCAACGGCUGACGCGGCGCUCUUUCUUACGGUCGGCGAACCCAUCUCGCUCGUCGGUUACUGCGGCGCUCGCGCCCACGCGGCACCAGGCUGUGGCGGUCGAAGGUAG